GGCAACCCUGACGGAGCAACGCCGCGUGUGGGAGGACGGCCUUCGGGUUGUAAACCACUUUUCUCAGGGAAGAAGAACUGACGGUACCAGAGGAAUAAGCCUCGGCUAACUCCGUGCCAGCAGCCGCGGUAAUACGGAGGAGGCAAGCGUUAUCCGGAAUUAUUGGGCGUAAAGCGUCCGCAGGGGGCACAUCAAGUCUGCUGUUAAAGGCUGGAGCUUAACUCCGGUAGAGCAGUGGAAACUGGUGUGCUAGAGGGCGACAGGGGUAGAGGGAAUUCCCAGUGUAGCGGUGAAAUGCGUAGAGAUUGGGAAGAACACCGGUGGCGAAAGCGCUCUACUGGGUCGCACCUGACCCUCAGGGACGAAAGCUAAGGGAGCG
Molecule: ribosomal RNA, 379 nt
Filed under: uncultured cyanobacterium
Lineage: Bacteria; Bacillati; Cyanobacteriota
Description: bacterial SSU rRNA
Rfam family: Bacterial small subunit ribosomal RNA
Source: RNAcentral